This 403-nucleotide ribosomal RNA is filed under the name uncultured bacterium. RNAcentral's name for it is "bacterial SSU rRNA". It matches the Rfam family "Bacterial small subunit ribosomal RNA", at positions 355 to 775 of the family's 1533-position model. The record is from RNAcentral.
UGGGGAAUAUUGCACAAUGGGGGAAACCCUGAUGCAGCGACGCCGCGUGAAGGAAGAAGUAUCUCGGUAUGUAAACUUCUAUCAGCAGGGAAGAAAAUGACGGUACCUGACUAAGAAGCCCCGGCUAACUACGUGCCAGCAGCCGCGGUAAUACGUAGGGGGCAAGCGUUAUCCGGAUUUACUGGGUGUAAAGGGAGCGUAGACGGAGCAGCAAGUCUGAUGUGAAAGGCGGGGGCUCAACCCCCGGACUGCAUUGGAAACUGUUGAUCUUGAGUACCGGAGGGGUAAGCGGAAUUCCUAGUGUAGCGGUGAAAUGCGUAGAUAUUAGGAGGAACACCAGUGGCGAAGGCGGCUUACUGGACGGUAACUGACGUUGAGGCUCGAAAGCGUGGGGAGCAAACAG